GUUGUAUAGUCAAGUAAUUAAGUGCAUGUGGUGGAUGCCUUGGCAGUCAGAGGCGAUGAAAGACGUGAUAGCCUGCGAAAAGCUCCGGGGAGGCGGCAAAUAUCCUUUGAUCCGGAGAUGUCUGAAUGGGGGAACCCACCUACUUUAAGGUAGGUAUUGCAACAUGAAUACAUAGUGUUGCAAGGCGAACGAGGGGAAGUGAAACAUCUCAGUACCCUUAGGAAAAGAAAUCAAUUGAGAUUCCCUCAGUAGCGGCGAGCGAACGGGGAUCAGCCCAUUAAGUUAUGUGUGUUUUAGUGGAACGCUCUGGGAAGUGCGAACGUAGAGGGUGAUAUUCCCGUACACGAAAGGGCACACAUAAUGAUGACGAGUAGGGCGAGGCACGUGAAACCUUGUCUGAAUAUGGGGGGACCAUCCUCCAAGGCUAAAUACUCCUGACUGACCGAUAGUGAACCAGUACCGUGAGGGAAAGGCGAAAAGAACCCCUGUGAGGGGAGUGAAAUAGAUCCUGAAACCGCAUGCAUACAAGCAGUGGGAGCACCUUCGUGGUGUGACUGCGUACCUUUUGUAUAAUGGGUCAGCGACUUAUAUUCAGUAGCGAGGUUAACCGUAUAGGGGAGCCGUAGAGAAAUCGAGUCUUAAUAGGGCGUUUAGUUGCUGGGUAUAGACCCGAAACCAGGCGAUCUAUCCAUGAGCAGGUUGAAGGUUGGGUAACACUAACUGGAGGACCGAACCCACUGUCGUUGAAAAGCCAGGGGAUGACUUGUGGAUAGGGGUGAAAGGCUAAUCAAGCCUGGUGAUAGCUGGUUCUCCCCGAAAGCUAUUUAGGUAGCGCCUCGGACGAAUACCAUAGGGGGUAGAGCACUGUUUCGGCUAGGGGGUCAUCCCGACUUACCAAACCGAUGCAAACUCCGAAUACCUAUGAGUACUAUCCGGGAGACAGACUGCGGGUGCUAACGUCCGUAGUCAAGAGGAAAACAAUCCAGACCGCCAGCUAAGGCCCCAAAAUCAUAGUUAAGUGGGAAACGAUGUGGGAAGGCAUAGACAGCUAGGAGGUUGGCUUAGAAGCAGCCACCCUUUAAAGAAAGCGUAAUAGCUCACUAGUCGAGUCGGCCUGCGCGGAAGAUGUAACGGGGCUAAAACUAUGUGCCGAAGCUGCGGAUGUAUACUUUGUAUACGUGGUAGGGGAGCGUUCUGUAAGCCGAUGAAGGUGUGUUGAGAAGCAUGCUGGAGGUAUCAGAAGUGCGAAUGCUGACGUGAGUAACGACAAAACGGGUGAAAAACCCGUUCGCCGAAAGACCAAGGGUUCCAGUCCAACGUUAAUCGGGGCUGGGUGAGUCGACCCCUAAGGCGAGGCCGAAAGGCGUAGUCGAUGGGAAAAUGGUUAAUAUUCCAUUACUUCUGUGUAAUGCGAUGAGAGGACGGAGAAGGCUAAAUCAGCCUGGCGUUGGUUGUCCAGGUGAAAGGAUGUAGGCAUGUAUCUUAGGCAAAUCCGGGGUACUCUAUGCUGAGAUCUGAUAGCAAGCUGUACUUGUACAGCGAAGUGGUUGAUGCCAUGCUUCCAGGAAAAGUCUCUAAGCUUCAGUUACACAGGAAUCGUACCCGAAACCGACACAGGUGGUCAGGUCGAGUAGACCAAGGCGCUUGAGAGAACUCUGCUGAAGGAACUAGGCAAAAUGGUACCGUAACUUCGGGAGAAGGUACGCUGUUGUUGGUGAUGGAACUCGCUUCCUGAGCUGACGACAGCCGCAGAAACCAGGCCGCUGCAACUGUUUAUUAAAAACAUAGCACUCUGCAAACACGAAAGUGGACGUAUAGGGUGUGAUGCCUGCCCGGUGCUGGAAGGUUAAUUGAUGGGGUUAGCGUAAGCGAAGCUCUUGAUCGAAGCCCCAGUAAACGGCGGCCGUAACUAUAACGGUCCUAAGGUAGCGAAAUUCCUUGUCGGGUAAGUUCCGACCUGCACGAAUGGCAUAAUGAUGGCGGCGCUGUCUCCAGCAGAGGCUCAGUGAAAUCGAAAUCGCUGUGAAGAUGCAGUGUACCCGCGGCUAGACGGAAAGACCCCGUGAACCUUUACUGCAGCUUGACACUGAACUUUGACCUUACUUGUGUAGGAUAGGUGGGAGGCUUUGAAGCUGGAACGCUAGUUCCAGUGGAGCCGUCCUUGAAAUACCACCCUGGUAAUGUUGAGGUUCUAACUCUGUCCCGUGAUCCGGGACGAGGACCGUGUCUGGUGGGUAGUUUGACUGGGGCGGUCUCCUCCUAAAGAGUAACGGAGGAUACGAAGGUGCGCUCAGCGUGGUCGGAAAUCACGCGUAGAGUAUAAAGGCAAAAGCGCGCUUAACUGCGAGACCCACAAGUCGAGCAGGUACGAAAGUAGGUCUUAGUGAUCCGGUGGUUCUGUAUGGAAGGGCCAUCGCUCAACGGAUAAAAGGUACUCUGGGGAUAACAGGCUGAUACCGCCCAAGAGUUCAUAUCGACGGCGGUGUUUGGCACCUCGAUGUCGGCUCAUCUCAUCCUGGGGCUGAAGCAGGUCCCAAGGGUAUGGCUGUUCGCCAUUUAAAGAGGUACGCGAGCUGGGUUUAGAACGUCGUGAGACAGUUCGGUCCCUAUCUACCGUGGGCGCUGGAAAUUUGAGAGGAUCUGCUCCUAGUACGAGAGGACCAGAGUGGACGAACCUCUGGUGUACCGGUUGUGACGCCAGUCGCAUCGCCGGGUAGCUAUGUUCGGAAGGGAUAACCGCUGAAAGCAUCUAAGCGGGAAGCCCUACCUCAAGAUAAGAUUUCCCUAGGACUUUAUGUCCUCUAAAGAGCCGUUCGAGACUAGGACGUUGAUAGGUUGGAUGUGGAAGCAUAGUGAUAUGUGAAGCUGACCAAUACUAAUUGCUCGUGAGGCUUGACUAUACAACACCCAAGCAGUUG
Molecule: ribosomal RNA, 2918 nt
Filed under: Acinetobacter baumannii
Lineage: Bacteria; Pseudomonadati; Pseudomonadota; Gammaproteobacteria; Moraxellales; Moraxellaceae
Description: bacterial LSU rRNA
Rfam family: Bacterial large subunit ribosomal RNA
Source: RNAcentral